This is a long non-coding RNA of Eriocheir sinensis (Chinese mitten crab), 382 nucleotides long. RefSeq lists it as uncharacterized. The transcript is spliced from 3 exons. The record is from RefSeq and is a predicted model, not a curated record. NCBI's taxonomy places the organism in Eukaryota, Metazoa, Arthropoda, Malacostraca, Decapoda, Varunidae.
CUGCAGGACGAGGCGGCGAGGCUGAGGGAAGGGCGGCGAGGAGGCGAGGCGCGGGACCUGCCUUUUGCGGCCACGAGGAAGACCUCCCUCCUUCAAGUGAGACGGACGUCUUGUGGCACACUCUUGGCUCCACACUUACCCUUCAGGGGGACUGACCCCUUGCUGCCGAGGGAACCAGCGAGGUCUGGGAGUGUGCUCCUGCACGUGUGGGUCCAGCCGGGCGUCAGUCCUCCACUAAGCUGCUUCUGCAGGUGUUGGGGAGGCACCAGCCAGGCAGCCUUCAGGAGCUGUCAGGGAGAAAGGAAGUCAGCUUUGUGAGGACUGUCAGUGUACUUUGCUCCCCAGGGCUGUAGAUGUUGCAAAUAAAUAAGUAAGGGACGCU